GCUUCUUUCGGACGCUCGGGGUCGCGGGAGAUGAGACAGCGACCAGGGCUGAGGGGAGCGAGGCGCCGCCAGAAGCCCGCUGGGCGCGGGAAACCCUUAGAGGCGAGCUCCGGGCCGCGCGGAACUUGAGUCUUGGCAGGAGCAGGGUUGUCAGUGAGCAGGCGGGAGUUCGAGGCCGCCCGCCGCCUUCGCGCGGAGAAUUUCGUUAGGCGCCGAAGCAGUGUUCGGAUAUCCGCGGGACUCAGGUGCCCAAGUCCGGCGGCCCAAGAGAAGAUCACAGGAGGGCCGCUUGGUGGCCUUGAACCCAGGAGCUGGCCUAGAUGGCCUCUCUCAUGAGAGUAUAACCCACUGUGCCCAAGUUAUGUCUUCUGCCUGAGUGACGAUGAUGUAGCCGUUGAAUAUUACGGAGCACACACAGUUGUCUUCAGCCAUAUAUCCCAGGAAAAUAUUAAUAGACGAGAUCACCCAGCCUUAAAGAGGAUUCUCUGGAUCACUGAGAGUUUUCCGAGGAAACCUACCAUACACUAAGUCAUAGAAAAGUUCCAAAAUGUGCAAAAAUAUUGCUUUUUGUGAGGAGUUUCAUUUUCUGAUAACAAGACUGGAGUUUGGGGGGUUUUCUGUUUGAGCGCAUAGUUUGGAAGUUGAAGGACUAUGGCGAGGAGGACAUGGCAUGCCUUAAAUAGAAUGAGGGAAACGACAGAGAACCAGAAGCCCUAGGAAAGGAGAUAAACUGCUUAUUUCAGCCCAUAAAAUGGAAAUGUGGUCAGAGCAAAUUAGUAGUAAAAGCUGAGCAUGCCGAGCUGCAGCAAUUUGCAAAAGCCUUUAAUAGACAAUAAUUUCUGUUGCGGUAGAAAAACUUUAUACAGUUACUGAUAUACCAAGUUAUGUUAGCCAGGGGGAAGAAGGUUACACACCUGGUUGAACGUGUGUACCAGGUGAGUAAAUUACAUUUACUCCGUUUCCUGUUAUAGAAACCAGAACGUGGCCUGGAAAAUCCUAAUUGUGACUUUAGUUCCAUAAAGAUAAAUCCCAGAGACUACUAGAGAACCUUGGAGACAUGCCUCUAAUCUACUCCACUUAUCCCAUUUAAAGGUUAGCAUCUGAAGAUUUAAUAACAAAAAACAGUUGAAGAAUUCAAAGCUGGAUAAUCAGAACCUCCAGGUUUGACUCUUGAAGAAGAUGCUACUGUUGGGAAGAGUGGAUGGAUUAUGCAGCCCUGUUUUCUGAGGAUUCAUUUGUUCUUGGAGUUUUUCACUGCUUGCUACCACUACCACUUGGCCUGAAAGUAUAAGCAUGUGACCAUUCCUUUCCUUCGUAUUUUACUACACAGCUGAGAAGAGACUGAAUUUGGAUCCUUUAGUGGUACAACUGGAAUAUUAUACAUAGUUUAGGGCAAGGAGGCUUAUUUAAAAGUAUUUUUCUAAUAGAAAAAAGCUGGAUAUGAAAAACGAAAUAAGGGUAAUCUUAUGUACAAAAUACAACUACUUAUGGUCAACUUUUAUUUAUUAAGAGAUGCAUCCACCCUGUGGCAGAGGCCAUUUUUUAACUGGUCUUAACCAAAGAGUAGCUCCUAGAAAACUUCACUCUUUUUUAAGUUCAGACCUGAGUACAGAGGACAAGAGAGAGUUUACCUGCUUGCCUCUAUUGGCACUACUGACAUUUUGUGCCAGAUAAUUGUUUUUUUUGUAAAUUUUUUGAAGUAUGGUUGAUUUAUAGUAUUAUGUUAGUUUUAAGAAUAUAGCAUAGUGAUUCAGUACUUUUGCAGAUUAAACUCUAUUAUAGGUUGUUACAAGAUAAUGGCUAUAAUUCACCAUGCUAUACAGUAUAUCCUUACUGUUUAUUUUAUAAACAUAGUAGUUUGUCCUUAACUUGUGCCUCCUCUUUUCCCUCUAUCUUUUGAUAACCACAGGUUUGUUUUCUAUAUCUGUGAGUCUGUUUCUGUUUUGGAUAUACAGUCAGUUGUAUUAUUUGUUGGAUUCCACAUACAGCAAACAAAUCUCCCCUUGGGCCCAGAGGAAGGCAUUAUCUCUGUCUUCUAAGGAUGUUGGCUACACAAACAUCCCUGAAAAAAUCAGGAAAAAGCUCUUAAUGCCCUUGCCCAAAAGACAUGCAGAAACACAAGAGAUCAAUGGAGAGCUGUCUUCCAACAAGUGAGUGCUUCAGAGCCUUUGUCAGCAGGCUUCCCAGGUAUCGUUAGUGGUGAAGAACCCACCUGCCAAUGCAGGAGACCUAAAAGAAAUGGGAUCGAACCCUGGGCAGGAAGAUCCCCUGGAGAAGGGAAUGGCAACCCACUCCAGCAUUCUUCCCUGGAGAAUCCCAUAGAUGGAGGAGCCUGGCGAGCUACAGUCCACGGGGUCGCAAAGAGUCGGACACGACUAAAGUGACUGAGCACACGCACACAACCUGGGUAGAUUCAGGCUGUAGUGUAAGGCAUGCAUUCAAAGGAACUAGGAUUUUCGAAGGAAGGGGAAAGGUUUGGAAUUGGGAGCAAGCAGGACCUGAAGGAUUUAAAGCAAAACAAAACAGCUACAACUUGAGAGUAUUGAAAGGAAACAAUAUUACAGGAGAUUACUAGGUUUGGGGUUAGAGUAAGAAGAUAAAGGGAAUGUUUAGAAAAGCUGUUAAGGAUAAUAGGGGAUUUGACGGAUAACAAGCACAAUGAAAGAAUCAAAACAGAUUAAGAGAAGUGGGAAGUUAGGCUAGAUUAAAACAAAGAGUUAUGGGGUGAAGGAUCUAUAUGUCAGGGCUUCCCUGGUGGCUCAGUGAUGAAGAAUCUGCCCCCCAAGGCAGGAGACGUGGGUUUGAUCCCUCUUGCGGGAAAAUCUCGCAUGCUUUGGAGCAACUAAAGCCUGUGUGCCACAACCACUGAGCCUGUUUUCUAGAGCCUGGGAGCCUCAACUACCAAAGCCUGCAGACCCCAGAGCCCGUGCUCCACAGGAGAAGCCCCCGCAGUGAGAAGCCCUCACCUGGAGAGCAGCCGCUGCUCAGCGCCACCAGAGAAAAGCCCACACAGCGGCGGAGUCCCAGCACAGCCACCAAAGGAAUAAAGUUAUGAUUUCAAAACGCUGCAUGGUGAACGUGACCUGUUGAAAGAGGCAAAUAGGCAUGAGGUAUGAUGGAAUUACUUCUAAUUUUUUUAGAAAGGAAAUUACAGCCGGUUGGAUUAUUCUUUCAAACAGCUUCUAGCCUGUAAUAAUGGUCUCUGGGGAUGGUCCCCUUAGGCAGUUAAUACUGGUGAAGCAGGUAGAUCCUGUGAUUUGGGAGGGGAAGGGAAAAAUAGACUUGCCAAGAGCACACUGAACUCUGUGAACCGCUAAAAUCCACUUGGGGUUGCGGCUGGAAAGACUUCUGGAGCCAUUAUUUAAAUCUUUGAACACUGACAGUGCGGAACACGGUCACUGAAAACCCUGGAAGCCUCCUUUAUAGACUGAAUCUUUGGUGUCAUUGUCACUGGACAGACAAUCUUCCAGGACCAUGGAGACCCUGCUGCGGGGUGGGGUGGCGGGGGGCAUAUGAUGAUAUAAAUAUCUACUGGGAAAACCCAAGAGAAACAACAUCAUUUUAGGUCUCUCCUCAAACUUCAGCUGAUCAGAGGGGGCUUAUUUAAACACAUUAUCCAAAACCGUGUUUUUUGUGGUCAGUUUCCCUCCUCUUACUAUGCUUUCCCACCUUCUUAGCACUUAGCACCUCCUGUCAUAUUUCUUUGGUAUUUUCUCUCAGUAGAAUGUAAAGAUCUUGAGAACAGAUUUUUUUUUAACUGCUUAUUUCCAAGACUCAGAAUAUUGCGUUGCAUACUGUAGGCACUCAGUGAGUAUUUACAAAAUGAGUGAAAGGAUAGAUAAGAGUAUUAGACCCGUUAAAUGAGUUCAGUAACAUGGCGAACUACAGAAUCAAUAAUCCUGAAAUUAAUAGUGUUUCUACAUACCAACAAAAGCCAUUAGAAAAAUAUUUUUAUAGAUAGUAUUUAUUCACAGCAGCAACAACAAAAAUAUCCUGAAGCAAAUUAAAUGAAAACUAAACAACACUGAAAUUUUUCUGACAGAACUGAGUGACUAGAGAAGUAUACCAUACUGCCGGAUGGAGAGACAAAAUAUUGGAUGAUGCAGACUCCACCCCCCCAAAUUAACCUGUAAAUUUAACACAGUAUCAAUCAAAAUCCCAGUGAAAUUUUUAGGGGAGACAGAGGGGCAGAAUUUGAUUAAAAGAUUUAAAAUUUCAUCAAGAAGAAUAAAGGCUUUAGAUAGUCAAUUAAAUUCUGAAGGAAGGCACUAAUAAGUGACCUUGCUCUAUCAGAUGCAAAAACAAAAAAUAGAGAAAAAAGGGGGUGCACAACCCAGGCAUUUCGCUUCUGGAAAUUUUUCCAAUCAGUGUUUGCUAAGUAGAGGAAAAUUCAAACAAAUCAUGGUUUAAACAAAUACCUGUGGAAUACCAUGGA
Long non-coding RNA from Dama dama (fallow deer), 4435 nucleotides. RefSeq lists it as uncharacterized. NCBI's taxonomy places the organism in Eukaryota, Metazoa, Chordata, Mammalia, Artiodactyla, Cervidae. The record is from RefSeq and is a predicted model, not a curated record. The transcript is spliced from 4 exons.